GGCUCAGAACGAACGCUGGCGGCGUGCCUAACACAUGCAAGUCGAACGUGAACGGACUUCGGUCCAAGUAAAGUGGCGCACGGGUGAGUAACGCGUGGGUAAUCUACCCUCGGGCGGGGAAUAACAUCUCGAAAGGGGUGCUAAUACCGCAUGAGACCACGUGCCUUGUGGCUAGUGGGAAAAGAUGGGGAACUUCGGUCCUGUCACCUGAGGAUGAGCUCGCGUACCAUUAGAUAGUUGGUGGGGUAAUGGCCUACCAAGUCGAAGAUGGUUAGCUGGUCUGAGAGGAUGAUCAGCCACAUUGGGACUGAGACACGGCCCAAACUCCUACGGGAGGCAGCAGUGGGGAAUAUUGCGCAAUGGGCGAAAGCCUGACGCAGCAACGCCGCGUGUGUGAUGAAAGGUCUUCGGAUCGUAAAGCAUUGUCGCAUGGAACGAGCCGGUAAGAGCCAAUACCUCUUGCCCCGACGGUACCAUGUGAGGAAGCACCGGCUAACUCCGUGCCAGCAGCGGC
Molecule: ribosomal RNA, 514 nt
Filed under: uncultured bacterium
Lineage: Bacteria
Description: bacterial SSU rRNA
Rfam family: Bacterial small subunit ribosomal RNA
Source: RNAcentral